This 429-nucleotide ribosomal RNA is filed under the name Actinomycetes bacterium. RNAcentral describes it as "Actinobacteria bacterium partial 16S ribosomal RNA". It matches the Rfam family "Bacterial small subunit ribosomal RNA", at positions 355 to 776 of the family's 1533-position model. Lineage: Bacteria; Bacillati; Actinomycetota; Actinomycetes. The record is from RNAcentral.
UAGGGAAUCUUCCGCAAUGGGCGAAAGCCUGACGGAGCAACGCCGCGUGAGUGAUGAAGGUCUUCGGAUCGUAAAACUCUGUUAUUAGGGAAGAACAAAUGUGUAAGUAACUAUGCACGUCUUGACGGUACCUAAUCAGAAAGCCACGGCUAACUACGUGCCAGCAGCCGCGGUAAUACGUAGGUGGCAAGCGUUAUCCGGAAUUAUUUGGCGUAAAGCGCGCGUAGGCGGUUUUUUAAGUCUGAUGUGAAAGCCCACGGCUCAACCGUGGAGGGUCAUUGGAAACUGGAAAACUUGAGUGCAGAAGAGGAAAGUGGAAUUCCAUGUGUAGCAGUGAAAUGCGCAGAGAUAUGGAGGAACACCAGUGGCGAAGGCGACUUUCUGGUCUGUAACUGACGCUGAUGUGCGAAAGCGUGGGGAUCAAACAGG